AACAAAUGUCUGGAACGAACUAAUGAACAAAGUUACCAAGAAAAGCUAAACCGCACUUCCAAUUUACCAUUGCACAAAGGAAUUCAGUUACCUGCUUGAUAACACGAUCGAUAAGCUUAUCCAAAGUAAAUAGUACGUAGGAGUUGGGCCCAAGAAAUUUCAAGCAGUGCUGCUCAAAGUUCCAAUUGUCAGUAGACCCAUCAAUCAGGCUGCAGAGUUUCUCCUUGAAACUACACCAUUCAAUAAAAUAAAAAGUUUCGCCAAUCCAAACAAAAAUAUGUAAUAGGAACAUACUGAAAUACCUGGAGAAGCCGGCAGAGCACAGCCAGAGUGCAACAAGAUAUUCCUCUGUUUGCAUCACAUUCUUUAGAUGUUCUUCCAAAAUAUUCUGAACUUCCAACCUCAUUGUUGGAGUCAUCUCUUGAUGAUUUAUGCUCUUCAGAUCCACUCCAAUGUCCAUAGGUACUAUGCAUAGAAUUAUUGGUAGGCAAACAUCGAACACGCAACUGUAUAUUUUCUACAUCUGGUAUGAACUCACCCUCCUCAACCUCCGCUAAAGUGUUGUAAGUACAUAUACCUUUGAAGAAAAAACAAACUCAUUAGUAAGCACAGCAACAGGAAUAUUAUUGAGAAAAUCUCUGCUCAUCCCACAAUGUUCACAAACGUUUCUGCGAGAAACUGUAUCCUUCAAGUCUGGCCAUUGAAACUUCACAGAAACAAAUGCCUUUACUAACUUUGUCCAAUUCAUCAUUGGCUUAUCUUCAGUAGAACAACUUCUACUAUAUGCAUAGUUAAUGAUAACGCCUACGUCCUCAUGAAUGUGAAUAUCAGUAUGAGAUUUGAUCCGACUGAUUUGUUUGUCUUCUGCCAGCAAAGCUGCAAGAGAGAUACUGAAAUGAGUAAGAACGAACUAAUAAAAUGGUAAAAUUUCCAUGAAUUAUAACGCAGAACCUAGCUUCAGCAGUACAUAAUAGUAAAAGUACCUUUUGGGCUCAUCCUUUCCAUGUCUAGUUGUUUGAAGGAGGGACUACAAUGAUCAAGUGAUCUGUAGUAAUUAUUGGCAACAGUAUCUGGGCACAUUUUAUUCAAGGAUAAUCGUGCCUCGGAGAAAUCUCCUAUCUUCUGAUUUAGACGAGAAAGUAUAACAGCAAGAGCAGAACUGGUGUUCUCAGAUUCUGACAAAGCAUCAAGCAUGUCAAUGCCAGAAUCAUCAUAUAGCUGUUCAAUGCACCUCUUAUGUAGAGCUGCACAUGUGUUCUUGAAUUUUCACAUUGCUGCCAAACCGAUAUUGAAGAUCCUCAAUAAAGUCAGCAGUUGCUCUAAACCUCUGCAAUAGCAUGUCACUCUCAAACCUAAAAAUCAUCUUCACACUUAAACAUGUUUUCUUCAUAUUGAUUUUUAGUUCUGAACUUGUAGCAAUCCUCACGUCCAGAUGUAACAGAAACCAAAGAAUCAUUUAAAAUAGACCUUCCAAGUUCAGUUUGGUAGCUUGACUGGAGAGAAUUUACAUUCUUUGGUAGCAGGCAAUAGCUAGGAGUGCAAUGCUUGCAAUUACUAGGAUCCACUUUUAGGGGUAAUUCGUUUUCUCGUGAGGUACUCCACUGAAGCAAAGGUUCAGCCUUGUGUUCCUCAUCAUCUUCUGCAUGAGGUGAUUUGUCAUCACCU
RNAcentral lists this small RNA (1665 nucleotides) under Oryza sativa Japonica Group (Japanese rice). Its description in RNAcentral is "sRNA Os05g0588750". Lineage: Eukaryota; Viridiplantae; Streptophyta; Magnoliopsida; Poales; Poaceae. The record is from RNAcentral.